UUUGGGUGGCGGACGGGUGAGUAACGCGUAAAGAACUUGCCUCACAGAUAGGGACAACAUUUGGAAACGAAUGCUAAUACCUGAUAUUAUGAUUAUAUGGCAUCGUAUAAUUAUGAAAGCUAGUAUGCGCUGUGAGAGAGCUUUGCGUCCCAUUAGCUAGUUGGAGAGGUAACGGGCUCACCAAGGCGAUGAUGGGUAGCCCGGCCUGAGAGGGUGAUCGGCCAACAGGGGACUGAGACACGGCCCUUACUCCUACGGGAGGCAGCAGUGGGGAAUAUUGGACAAUGGACCAAGAGUCUGAUCCAGCAAUUCUGUGUGCACGAUGAAGUUUUUCGGAAUGUAAAGUGCUUUCAGUUGGGAAGAAAAAAAUGACGGUACCAACAGAAGAAGUGACGGCUAAAUACGUGCCAGCAGCCGCGGUAAUACGUAUGUCACAAGCGUUAUCCGGAUUUAUUGGGCGUAAAGCGCGUCUAGGUGGUUAUGUAAGUCUGAUGUGAAAAUGCAGGGCUCAACUCUGUAUUGCGUUGGAAACUGUGUAACUAGAGUACUGGAGAGGUAAGCGGAACUACAAGUGUAGAGGUGAAAUUCGUAGAUAUUUGUAGGAAUGCCGAUGGGGAAGCCAGCUUACUGGACAGAUACUGACGCUGAAGCGCGAAAGCGUGGGUAGCAAACAGGAUUAGAUACCCUGGUAGUCCACGCCGUAAACGAUGAUUACUAGGUGUUGGGGGUCGAACCUCAGCGCCCA
RNAcentral lists this ribosomal RNA (745 nucleotides) under uncultured Fusobacterium sp. RNAcentral's name for it is "bacterial SSU rRNA". It matches the Rfam family "Bacterial small subunit ribosomal RNA", at positions 90 to 849 of the family's 1533-position model. The record is from RNAcentral. Lineage: Bacteria; Fusobacteriati; Fusobacteriota; Fusobacteriia; Fusobacteriales; Fusobacteriaceae.